UUCUAUCAAUUUCUACCUCAAUUAUCUUCUACUUCUAUCAAUUUUUGUCUUUAUUAUCUUCUACUUCUAUCAGAUUGUACCUCAAUUAUCUUCUACUUCUAUCAAUUUCUACCUCAAUUAUCUUCUACUUCUAUCAAUUUUUACCUCAAUUAUCUUCUACUUCUAUCAAUAUCUACCUCAAUUAUCUACUUCUAUCAAUUUAUGUCUUUAUUAUCUUCUACUUUUUAUAUUUUCUACCUCUAUCAUCUUUUAACUCUAUCUUUUACCUCUAUCAUGUUUUAAUUCUAUCAUUUGAAAAUCUAUCCUCUUCUACCUCUAUCUUCUACCCAUACUUGAAAAAGAAAUGUUCAUGUAAAAUGUAUCUGAACAACAAAUGAAAUAAAAGUUCAAGUUUAUCAACAGCGUCUUACUCGUCCAGUACUUAAAGCCCUUUGAUGAGCAUGGACUUCAUAAGUGAGU
This is a non-coding RNA of Biomphalaria pfeifferi, 459 nucleotides long. Lineage: Eukaryota; Metazoa; Mollusca; Gastropoda; Planorbidae. The record is from the annotation of a GenBank genome assembly.